This 465-nucleotide ribosomal RNA is filed under the name uncultured bacterium. RNAcentral's name for it is "partial 16S ribosomal RNA". It matches the Rfam family "Bacterial small subunit ribosomal RNA", at positions 338 to 795 of the family's 1533-position model. The record is from RNAcentral.
CCUACGGGGGGCAGCAGUGGGGAAUAUUGCGCCAUGGGCGAAAGCCUGACGCAGCGACGCCGCGUGAGGGAUGAAGGUCUUCGGAUCUUAAACCUCUGUCAGCAGGGAAGAACGGUCACUUUGCUAAUCAGCAGUGAAUUGACGGUACCUGCAAAGGAAGCACCGGCUAACUCCGUGCCAGCAGCCGCGGUCAGACGGAGGGUGCGAGCGUUUAUCGUAUUUAAUGGGCGUAACGCGCUCGUAGGCGGUAUGUCAAGUCAAGGGUGAAAUCCCCGCGCUCAACGUGGGAACUGCCUUUGAUACUGGCAAACUGGAGUGUGUGAGAGGAUAGUGGAAUUCAAGGUGUAGGAGUGAAAUCCGUAGAUAUCUGGAGGAACAUCAGUGGCGAAGGCGACUAUCUGGCACAUAACUGACGCUGAGGAGCGAAAGCGUGGGUAGCAAACAGGAUUAGAUACCCGGGUAGUC